RNAcentral lists this ribosomal RNA (433 nucleotides) under uncultured bacterium. Its description in RNAcentral is "partial 16S ribosomal RNA". It matches the Rfam family "Bacterial small subunit ribosomal RNA", at positions 29 to 507 of the family's 1533-position model. The record is from RNAcentral.
AACGAACGCUGGCGGCAGGCCUAACACAUGCAAGUCGAGCGGACCCUUCGGGGUUAGCGGCGGACGGGUGAGUAACGCGUGGGAACUUGCCCUUUGCUUCGGAAUAGCCCUGGGAAACUGGGAGUAAUACCGGAUACGCCCUUUUGGGGAAAGAUUUAUCGGCGAAGGAUCGGCCCGCGUUGGAUUAGGUAGUUGGUGGGGUAAUGGCCUACCAAGCCGACGAUCCAUAGCUGGUUUGAGAGGAUGAUCAGCCACACUGGGACUGAGACACGGCCCAGACUCCUACGGGAGGCAGCAGUGGGGAAUCUUAGACAAUGGGGGAAACCCUGAUCUAGCCAUGCCGCGUGAGCGAUGAAGGCCUUAGGGUUGUAAAGCUCUUUCACCGGGGAAGAUAAUGACGGUACCCGGAGAAGAAGCCCCGGCUAACUCCGUG